GGGGUACAUAAUGGUGUCCCCCACGUCACAUGUGCCGGGCCCACCUGAAUAUUAUAUUCAGGUGGGCCCGGCACAUGUGAGGGGGGACACCAUUAUGUACC
This 101-nucleotide microRNA precursor is filed under the name Olea europaea subsp. europaea. The record is from RNAcentral. Lineage: Eukaryota; Viridiplantae; Streptophyta; Magnoliopsida; Lamiales; Oleaceae.